Salmo salar (Atlantic salmon) is the source of this 4108-nucleotide non-coding RNA. The record is from RefSeq and is a predicted model, not a curated record. NCBI's taxonomy places the organism in Eukaryota, Metazoa, Chordata, Actinopteri, Salmoniformes, Salmonidae.
CCUAGCUCCUCCUUUCAUUAAAUUGGUGUACAGUCAGAUUGAUGCAACAACACCACAAUUGAAGAUGGCGAAAAGGAACUCCCUUAUCCGCUGCAAACAGGCCCUAAAUGGCUGUACUCGGCUUCUGCUCUCCGAUAAUCCUGGACUUGAUGCCCUUCAGUCCACGAAAUACUAUUAUUACUUAAUCAUAAAGUUGAUCUGCUAGCUAACACAGAGGACGGGUCUGUGUAUGGCUAUGCAGCUAUGUUGGAGGCUCAGACACUGAGAGCAGUGCAAGUAACUUAGGCCUAUGUGUUGCUAAUAUUGUAAGUCUGAUUAGGCCAAGGGUGUAUUUUAUAUUUAGCUAGUAUAUGUAGAAUAUAUAUAUUUUGUUGUAAUGAAUGCUGGUAUUUAAAUGGCUGGAUUGCUAAAUUAGUUAGUAGUUCGCUUGAUAACGUUCCUUAGCCGCACACCCCGGCCAUAGCCGCAGUGAACGGCGCCGUCUUGUUAUAUUUUUACAGCCCUGCUAGUUACAUAAAGGUGAUUUAUUAUCGACGAGUACUGACGUCAAACAUGUUUUUGUAUUUAUUGGCAAAACAACAACUGAAGGUUUAAAACUUCAGGCAGGCUGGCUGGCUAGCUAGCUAUAAUUUCAAUGCUACCUAGCCUUAGCCGCACUACCUCGCGAUUAGCUUAAAAACAUUUACAAAGCUCACAAAGCUUCUUUGACCUAGGACAAUCCUGUAAAAACUUUUGCUAAUAUCUACAACAUAUCAGCUUUCCAACAGAUACUACUUUUGAAACCCUUUGGAAAAAUGAAUAUUUCAUCUAAACCUAGAAAUUAACAACUUCAGACCUAAACCAGGAACGUUAACGUUAAGUACUAUGGCACUGUUGGUACAGGAAUCUCAGUCCCAUCCAUGGUCUCUAUUUUUACCAAACUGUCGUCUUGCAGAAUGGAAACCAUACAGAGGAGCCUUGACUGGGCUAGGGGGAGGCUGAUAAAUGUUGCUUCAGCAGACGAUCUAAUUGAUCAAGUAUCUCAGUUCAUUCAGGAGAUGCGUACCUCUGGCUGGCAUGCACAACAAGCCAGUUCCAGUUUCCGGGCUCGUCGGACUUGGAGAGGAGCUAGAGGUGCACCUUGUUAUGCCAUCACUCAAGAGCAACUGAGGUUUCUGAUGUCCUGUGCUUUCAGUGUGGCAGAUAUUCUACAUGUGUCCCGAUCGACAGUCAAACGUCAUCUAAGACACUUCAACCUGUCACAUGCACCGUUAUAUUCUGACAUGUCAGACUUGGCUCUGGAUGAAAAGAUGAAGGACUUGGUGGCUGGGAACGACAAACGUGGACCGGAGGCUGUUCGAUCACAAUUAAGGGCUCUGGGUGCAGAGACGCAGAGUGAGGGACAGCAUGCUUCGUGUUAACCCGAGGACGGCUGCCCUCAGAGCCAUGUGGCAGAGGCUGCAUAGAAGGUCAUACCAUGUUGCUGGACCAAACUUGUUAUGGCACCUUGAUGGAAACCACAAACUGAUUUGGUAGAUGUAUCUUUGUGAUAGACACAAUUAUCUAUAUCACUGGUGAGAAGUUGUACAUUGUGACAUCUCAAAUUGUUCAUCAACAACUAACAGUUCAGUAAGCAAUGGCCCCUGAUACCAUAUGUCACUCAUGUGGAUAAUAAUUGUUUUAUUGUGUUUCUGCUACUUCUGUGAUUGAUGGAAUAUCUGCAUCAUGAAAUGAACAAACAUGCUUAUAUUGAGGACAUACGGAGGCAAUAACAGUUGGAGCAAAGUAUUUGUGCCUAAGUGUGAACAACAGGAGAGUCUGUCCUCUUGACUCAUCAAGAUAAAUGUGGUUAUUUUUCCAAUUGAAGUAGAUAUUGUAAUCACACAUCUUCCGCUGCAGGAAACGGUCUAGAACAAACCCUUGUUGUAGCCUUUAGAGGGCUAACGAAAGUACUUAUAGUUGUGAUCCACGGUAGACUGUUCAUUAACAUUGUUCCACAUUUUGGAUGUUAAUUUAAUAUUUGGUCUGCUGCUUUGUUAUAUACUGCAGGGACCUGAUGCAGCAUCUAAGUGGUAAAGGAGGAUGGUGAUGUUUGUAUAUUUCACGUGUCUUCAGCUUUUGUAUCAACCAGUGCUGUAUUUUCUGAUUUAGGUGGAGGAUAGUCAUACAUGGUGGCAUUGAUGGGUACAGCCGUCUCGUUGUUUCUCCGUGCUUCCAGGAACAGUCACAGCAGUACUGUAAUGGAUUGCUUCAUGAAUGCUGUCUCCAGAUAUGGCGUUCCCUCCAGAGUUAGGACGGACCAUGGAGGAGAAAACAGCACUGUCUGCUUGUUGAAUGUAAUACAUAUUGAAAAUAUUAAUUAAAAAAUAGAGCUACAUGCAUCCUUAAAAUGUAUUCUGGACCUACACAUUGAUUACAUUCUAUAGUGAGUGAUGCAUGCGGCUACAUUUUCUUUCUGUAAAUCAUUUUCAGAACGCAAUCACAUUAUGUUUGACAGCUUUAUUGCUUUCUCCAUGUUUUUGAAAUGUAUAAUCCUUUAAAUGACCUUUUACUGACUACUUCUACAAAUGAGGCUACACUUGUGGCAGCACCUAUUCCUGUGCCCCCCCCAUCUUCUGCACCACUUCUUGUGGCCCCCCUCCGCCUAUACCACUUCUUGUGACCCCCCUCCGCUUAUACCACUUCUUGUGGCCUUCCCUCCACCAUUCCCUGAGGCUUAUCGUCCACCUUCACCACACUCUUCUGUUGAUGUUGGUGAUGACAAUGAUUAAGUCGUCAAUGUAAAUAUUUCAAUGUCUUGUUAUUACAGAUGAAUUGUGGGAAGUAUCUGAGCUUUGUUAUUCUGAAUGUCUCUUUUAGUUUUGACCUCCAAACACUGCUGAAGUUAAUGAGAUGCCAACCAAAUUAGUGAUGAGGGACAACAUUUAUGAUUGUGCAAUGAGAGGCUUUAAGAGAGCCCGCUUUAAUCCGGAGGCAAAAAUAGACAUGGUUUUUAGGGAUGCUGACGGAAAAGGGGCAGCUGAUGAGGGUGGUCCCUCAAGAGAAUUUCUCCGGCUGCUAAUGAGUGCCAUCCAUUCCUCUGCAAUAUUUGAGGGACCUGAUUGGCAAAAAUGCCUUUCUUGCAACUCUCAAGGUGAGUAACACUUUUACACCAACAAAGACACAUUUAUUUAUGGCAAUAUAAAUGACUUGAGUAAGAAAUUUUAUUUUUGAAUGUAAUGGGUCCUUUAUUUACGGUUUGUCUUCUGUGUGACAGCACUCUAUGAUGGCGUAUACUAGCAGGUGGGCCGUAUGAUUACUGUCUGGUACAUGGGGUGUAGAGCCACAUUUUUUUCAGAGAGGCUAUACAGGCAAGUGUCUGGCCUACAACCUCCUGUGCCAGAAAUGAAAGAAAUUGUGGAAUAUGACUUCAGGGAGAAGGUAAGUAACUGUAUACUGUGAUGGAUGUUACAUUACUGUUAAUUUGCACAAAGUUGUGCUGUAGUUCAUGAAUACUUUUCCAUAUGGAUUUGGUUUCCUUUUGUUGGCAGUCAAUCUUUUUUAAGGGUAGUGAUAAUCAGUUUUUGUUUUGAUAAUUUGCCCCAAAACACAUUUCAAUAAACAAUCUAAGAUUCAGUUAGCACAAACUGUUGACAAGGCACAGGAAGCGGUCAUGUUGGGUCCAGUGGGAUACAUUCGUACAUUGGAGAGGGAUGCCCUGGUGGAGUCAGCCACAAAGUUCUACUUAGAAAGCAGGAUACAGGAUGCUCUUGAACAGUGAGUUUCCAUAUAUCUAAGGAAUCUCAAGUUUAGUUAAAUUCUUCAGGGCAAAUUCAUUGACUUGUUUUACUUUAUAGAUUCAAAGAGGGUCUGGAGUGUCUAGGUCUCCUGCCUUACAUGAAUAGACACUCAAGCCUCUCCAGAGAGGUUUUCAUCUACGCUGAGAAACCUGUUUUGGCCAAAGACAGCUUCUCUCUUCAAAGCAGAGCGCUCCCCACCUGGUACCAAUCAAAGAGCAAUAGAGAGAAGAGUCAUAUGUUUCUGGAGGGACUGACUUCUGGAGGUGGAAAGUUCGAUGCAAAACCAUGAUCAUUGAGGGAGGAGCACAUACCCUUUAACCAUGGAGAAGGUUUUCAUUUUCACUUCGGGG